Arachis ipaensis is the source of this 1561-nucleotide non-coding RNA. The record is from RefSeq and is a predicted model, not a curated record. Lineage: Eukaryota; Viridiplantae; Streptophyta; Magnoliopsida; Fabales; Fabaceae.
AUCACUAAUCAUCUUUGUUUUGUUCCUCAUGCAUCACCGAACACUACAAAAUUCUUAUUUGUUUGUAGAAAUUUUUUAGUGAAAAUUAUUAAAACCUCCACAAUAUAAUUUAUUUAUAACAACUUUAAAGAGUUAACAAAAAUUUUCACUUUUUUUUUUGGUGACUAAAAACUUUCACUAUUUGUUUUCACUUUUCAACCCGAUUAUUUAUAAAAAACCCAACCCAAAAAAAUAUUUACCAAAUCCAUACCAAAAAUAAAAAAAAAAUGAAAGAGUUAUUCGAUCGAGAGAGAGAACAAGCAGGGAGAGUCUGAAACCCUAGAAUCAUGAUUCCAUCGCCACCGCCAUUCAUCUCCUUGCCGCCGUUGCCGCCAAGUUUCCUCCGUCGACCGUCGCCUGCUGGAGUUAUGAAUGGAGACCAGCUCACGGAGGAAGAAGCUCAGGCUCUUUCAAAGAGGUAAAUAAAAACGCUCUUUCUUUCAAAUCAGAUCUGUUUUCAGACAGCUACAGAAGAAGAGUAUUCUUCAACUAUGAAAAACGUAUCCGCUUACAGAGCCCUCCAGAAAAGGUUUUCGAGUACUUUGCAUCGAUCAAAAUCGCAAAUGGCAAGGUUUAUAUGACACCUGUAGAUUUGAUGCGUGCUGUUGUUCCGGUGUUCCCUCCUUCGGAAUCAAACCGUGUUAGAGAGGGCUUUCUUAGAGGGGAGCAGGUUCUUGGUACAUUGCGGUGUUAACCCUCUGAAUUCUUUAUGCUCUUUGACACUAACAAUGAUGGAGUCAUUUCUUUUCUAGAGUACAUCUUUUUUGUUACUCUCCUCAGCAUACCAGAAUCCAGCUUCACAGUCGUCUUCAAAAUGUUUGAUCUUAACAAUAAUGGGCAACUAAUAGAAAUAAAGGAAGCAAUUGAACGUCAGCACAAAUUAUUCAAGAAAAAAAAUCUGGAAAGACUAGUAGAGUGUGCAGCAGAUGGUUAGCAAAAACAGCUUGCGUUUCAUCAAAGGAGUCACCCUAAUGCUGCCCAAGAAUGCAAGCCCAAACCCCCACACCCUUAAGCACAACCAACUCUAGGCACAAAAGCUUCUAUAUGACAUGUUGGAAGAGACUAUAGAGAUAGUGAAGGAACUUGACCCUGUUCUGAAUGAUGAAGAUCCCAAGAUCAACCAGGAAGAAGAAGAAAGAGAACCUGGCAUUCGCUUGUUCAAGCAUGUUUGCCAACCAGGAAUAGUGUUUGAUCAUUUUGGUAACUCACUAAAUCAAAUGACCUCUUUUCUAGUGGCUUACUUAUCUAGAGUUUGAAAUUUUCAAUAUAUAUUUAUAGUUUCUGCAUAGGGUGUCAUCAUAUUUUCAAGUGACAGCGAGAAUGCUUUAAUCAGUCAAAUUAAUUUUAGUGCUUUAUAUAGUUGAAAUACAAUCUUUAUUUCAUCCAAUUGGGAUGCGAAGGGGUUUUUAUAUUAAUUUACUAUCCAGUUUGGUCGAGGUCAUAUUGACAGACCUUGUUUUAUAUUUCAAAUUAUUCAUGUUAAAUUUUGUUCAAAUAUGUAAUAUUUUAAUUUCCUUCUAAA